ACACGACUCUCGGCAACGGAUAUCUCGGCUCUCGCAUCGAUGAAGAACGUAGCRAAAUGCGAUACCUGGUGUGAAUUGCAGAAUCCCGCGAACCAUCGAGUCUUUGAACGCAAGUUGCGCCCGAGCCAUUCGGCAGAGGGCACGCCUGCCUGGGCGUCACGC
Molecule: ribosomal RNA, 162 nt
Filed under: Avena barbata (slender wild oat)
Lineage: Eukaryota; Viridiplantae; Streptophyta; Magnoliopsida; Poales; Poaceae
Description: 5.8S ribosomal RNA
Rfam family: 5.8S ribosomal RNA
About the family: 5.8S ribosomal RNA (5.8S rRNA) is a component of the large subunit of the eukaryotic ribosome. It is transcribed by RNA polymerase I as part of the 45S precursor that also contains 18S and 28S rRNA.
Source: RNAcentral